Molecule: ribosomal RNA, 503 nt
Filed under: uncultured bacterium
Lineage: Bacteria
Description: partial 16S ribosomal RNA
Rfam family: Bacterial small subunit ribosomal RNA
Source: RNAcentral
AUUGAACGCUGGCGGCAGGCUUAACACAUGCAAGUCGAGCGGGGUGAUGGUGCUUGCACUAUCACUUAGCGGCGGACGGGUGAGUAAUGCUUAGGAAUCUGCCUAUUAGUGGGGGACAACAUCUCGAAAGGGAUGCUAAUACCGCAUACGUCCUACGGGAGAAAGCAGGGGAUCACUUGUGACCUUGCGCUAAUAGAUGAGCCUAAGUCGGAUUAGCUAGUUGGUGGGGUAAAGGCCUACCAAGGCGACGAGCUGUAGCGGGUCUGAGAGGAUGAUCCGCCACACUGGGACUGAGACACGGCCCAGACUCCGACGGGAGGCAGCAGUGGGGAAUAUUGGACAAUGGGGGGAACCCUGAUCCAGCCAUGCCGCGUGUGUGAAGAAGGCCUUAUGGUUGUAAAGCACUUUAAGCGAGGAGGAGGUUCUUUUGGUUAAUACCCAAGAUGAGUGGACGUUACUCGCAGAAUAAGCACCGGCUAACUCUGUGCCAGCCGCCGCAGUAA